GGAUUCUGAGCGUGAUUCGCGAAUCACUCGUAAUGAUUAGGUCGUCGGUUCGAUUCCGACAGGCGGCUCCG
This 71-nucleotide transfer RNA is filed under the name Pimelobacter simplex. RNAcentral's name for it is "tRNA-Thr". The stretch from base 6 to 62 matches the Rfam family "tRNA", at positions 6 to 65 of the family's 71-position model. From Rfam's summary of the family: Transfer RNA (tRNA) molecules are approximately 80 nucleotides in length. Their secondary structure includes four short double-helical elements and three loops (D, anti-codon, and T loops). The record is from RNAcentral. Lineage: Bacteria; Bacillati; Actinomycetota; Actinomycetes; Propionibacteriales; Nocardioidaceae.